GGGCUCGCAGGCGGUUUCUUAAGUCUGAUGUGAAAGCCCCCGGCUCAACCGGGGAGGGUCAUUGGAAACUGGGGAACUUGAGUGCAGAAGAGGAGAGUGGAAUUCCACGUGUAGCGGUGAAAUGCGUAGAGAUGUGGAGGAACACCAGUGGCGAAGGCGACUCUCUGGUCUGUAACUGACGCUGAGGAGCGAAAGCGUGGGGAGCGAACAGGAUUAGAUACCCUGGUAGUCCACGCCGUAAACGAUGAGUGCUAAGUGUUAGGGGGUUUCCGCCCCUUAGUGCUGCAGCUAACGCAUUAAGCACUCCGCCUGGGGAGUACGGUCGCAAGACUGAAACUCAAAGGAAUUGACGGGGGCCCGCACAAGCGGUGGAGCAUGUGGUUUAAUUCGAAGCAACGCGAAGAACCUUACCAGGUCUUGACAUCCUCUGACAAUCCUAGAGAUAGGACGUCCCCUUCGGGGGCAGAGUGACAGGUGGUGCAUGGUUGUCGUCAGCUCGUGUCGUGAGAUGUUGGGUUAAGUCCCGCAACGAGCGCAACCCUUGAUCUUAGUUGCCAGCAUUCAGUUGGGCACUCUAAGGUGACUGCCGGUGACAAACCGGAGGAAGGUGGGGAUGA
RNAcentral lists this ribosomal RNA (617 nucleotides) under Bacillus subtilis. Its description in RNAcentral is "bacterial SSU rRNA". It matches the Rfam family "Bacterial small subunit ribosomal RNA", at positions 565 to 1182 of the family's 1533-position model. The record is from RNAcentral. Lineage: Bacteria; Bacillati; Bacillota; Bacilli; Caryophanales; Bacillaceae.